This 550-nucleotide unclassified non-coding RNA is filed under the name Poa serpaiana. RNAcentral describes it as "partial external transcribed spacer". Lineage: Eukaryota; Viridiplantae; Streptophyta; Magnoliopsida; Poales; Poaceae. The record is from RNAcentral.
UGGUUUUGGACCCGUGUCUGCCGGUAGAUCCCCCGUCUUUGUGCGGCUGACUACUGGCGCCGUGUCCCGUCGGUUCUGUGGCUUAUGUUACUGUUGCCUUUCAAGCGCUUGCGUGUUGGUACCCGAACUCCGGGUAGUGGUGCUUUGUAUUCGGUUGCCUCGCGGUGGCCGCCUUCGGGUGUGCUGCUGCGGCCAAAUUGCGCUUGUGGCGUUUCCUCGUUGUGCCGGCAUGUUUACUCUGACGGUGCAAUCAAGGCAACCUCGCUCCCGCUGUUGGUCUCGGAUGUUGCCUACGUUUAAGUCUCUUGGCCCAUUUAAGUUGCCUUGACCCGACCCUAAGAAGCUCUCCGAACUGAGAACAACCGGAACAGGUGUGGCCUCUACCUCUCCACAGCUAGUGGUAGGAUUACGCAACAUUCUGUGCCGAUCCUCAAACAAGUAGGAACGAGCUUGGCCAACUCAAUUGCGACAACCGGCCCGGCCGUUGGCUCUGCCUUGACACGCAAGUGGAUGGGUGGACAACUUCCGACGCUGGACGUCAAAGAGGACG